RNAcentral lists this transfer RNA (57 nucleotides) under Dipodomys ordii (Ord's kangaroo rat). It matches the Rfam family "tRNA", at positions 8 to 63 of the family's 71-position model. Rfam says of the family: Transfer RNA (tRNA) molecules are approximately 80 nucleotides in length. Their secondary structure includes four short double-helical elements and three loops (D, anti-codon, and T loops). The record is from Rfam by way of RNAcentral. Lineage: Eukaryota; Metazoa; Chordata; Mammalia; Rodentia; Heteromyidae.
UGGCUCAGUGGUAGAGUGCUUGCCUCAUAUGCAUGAGGCCCUGGGUUCAAUUCCUCG